Molecule: non-coding RNA, 76 nt
Organism: Oesophagostomum dentatum (nodular worm)
Lineage: Eukaryota; Metazoa; Nematoda; Chromadorea; Rhabditida; Strongylidae
Source: the annotation of a GenBank genome assembly
UGCUGAAUGGUUCAGUCGGCAGAGUGUCGGACUAUCAGUCCAGCAGUCGCCGGUUCGAGUCUCGGCUGAGUGGCAA